CGGGUGAGUAACGCGUGAGGAACCUGCCUCAAAGAGGGGGACAACAGUUGGAAACGACUGCUAAUACCGCAUAAGCCCACGGGUCGGCAUCGAUCUGAGGGAAAAGGAGUGAUCCGCUUUGAGAUGGCCUCGCGUCCGAUUAGCUAGUUGGUGAGGUAAUGGCCCACCAAGGCGACGAUCGGUAGCCGGACUGAGAGGUUGAACGGCCACAUUGGGACUGAGACACGGCCCAG
Molecule: ribosomal RNA, 233 nt
Filed under: uncultured bacterium
Lineage: Bacteria
Description: partial 16S ribosomal RNA
Rfam family: Bacterial small subunit ribosomal RNA
Source: RNAcentral